This 500-nucleotide ribosomal RNA is filed under the name uncultured bacterium. RNAcentral describes it as "partial 16S ribosomal RNA". It matches the Rfam family "Bacterial small subunit ribosomal RNA", at positions 30 to 523 of the family's 1533-position model. The record is from RNAcentral.
AUUGAACGCUGGCGGAAUGCUUUACACAUGCAAGUCGAACGGCAGCACGGACUUCGGUCUGGUGGCGAGUGGCGAACGGGUGAGUAAUGUAUCGGAACGUGCCCAGUCGUGGGGGAUAACGUAGUGAAAAUUACGCUAAUACCGCAUACGAUCUAUGGAUGAAAGCGGGGGAUCGCAAGACCUCGCGCGAUUGGAGCGGCCGAUAUCAGAUUAGGUAGUUGGUGGGGUAAAGGCCCACCAAGACAACGAUCUGUAGCUGGUCUGCGAGGACGACCAGCCACACGAGAACUGAGACACGGUCCAGACGCCUACGGGAGGCAGCAGUGGGGAAUGUUGGACAAUGGGCGAAAGACUGAUCCAGCCAUUCCGCGUGCAGGAUGAAGGCCCUCGGGUUGUAAACUGCUUUUGUACAGAACGAAAAGGUUUCUACUAAUACUAGGAGCUCAUGACGGUACUGUAAGAAUAAGCACCGGCUAACUACGUGCCAGCCGCCGCAGUAA